Molecule: long non-coding RNA, 1122 nt
Organism: Lycium barbarum (goji berry)
Lineage: Eukaryota; Viridiplantae; Streptophyta; Magnoliopsida; Solanales; Solanaceae
Exons: 5
Source: RefSeq, a predicted model, not a curated record
CGCUGAAAAGAUAAAUAUCUCGUCCUAAUAAGCCAUAUAAAAUAUUCUACUUGUCUUAAUUAAUUAAUACCCCAAUGCUCCCUUCUCUCCUUGUCUCUCGUUUUUUCCCCAAAAUAAACCCUAAGCUCUGUAUGUCAAAUUUCUCUCCAAAGCAUGUAAAAUUUCUAACAAUUGACUCUUCCAAAUUUCUCUCUGAAAGCGGAUGACUCAUGACGACGUCUAUUUGUAAUGGGUGAAGACUCACAAACCGACAAUGAUAAGAGUUGCCAAUCUGAAUAGGUUUGUACCUCUUAUCUUCUUCUUUUUCUGUUGACGACAAGAAAUUUCUUAUUUUAGUGAAUAUUGAGUGUAUAAAGUGAUAAUAUUUUGUACCAAUUCUACUGAAUAAUGAUUGUUUUGGUGUAAGAGCUUAAAGUGGAGUAUUGGGCUUGAGUUGAGGAUGGUGGCUAGGGUUAGGUUUAAAGUUGGGGCUUGGAGCGUAAGGAGGAUGAAAAAUUCAAGCCCCCUGUAUCAGAGAAAGCUUCCUACAGAAGUGCAAGAACCAGUUUUCUAUAGUAACGGAAAUCCUCAAAGUCAAGGAUCUUGAAUAGAUAUUAUUAAUCGAUCUGAUUUGAGGACUUUAACAUGCACAAUGAUAAAUAGGCUAUUUCUUCCCUCUUUGCUGAUGUAAAAUCUUUUUGGGCUUUGCACCCCAAUUGGAAGCUCGGUUGACAAGGAGAUGGAACUUUGGUUUUUUGUCUUCAUUCGUAUGUUAGGUUCCCGUGUCCUCCUUUGGAGUUCGGCUCUCAUUAUUUUAUGAAGCACUUCAUUUCAAUUCCCAUGAACGUAAAGCAGUUGACUAGUCUUAAUUAGGGUUUCAAGAGUUGAGCUUACAAGUCUAGAUGCAAGUUUUGAAGACUUCAUACCUCUCGACGAAUUCAUUACCAUUUUGCUAGGGUUGUCAAGAAAAAAAAACAUUUUGCUAGGAGCUUGUGUAAAUGUUACCAUGACUGAUGCAUCAUGGCUAUACGUUUAAUAGUGAGAUAUUACAUUUUUGGUGAUUAAUUAUCAAUUAUGAUAUGCAUGCAUAUGCGUAUUUGUAUAAGAAAGUAUGAUUUUUAUUCAUCUUUUUGUUUAUGUGCA